GAUGAAGAACGCAGCGAAAUGCGAUAAGUAAUGUGAAUUGCAGAAUUCAGUGAAUCAUCGAAUCUUUGAACGCACAUUGCGCCCGCCAGUAUUCUGGCGGGCAUGCCUGUUCGAGCGUCAUUUCAACCAUCAAGCCCCCGGGCUUGCGUUGGGGCCCUGCGGCUGCCGCAGACCCCUAAAACCAGUGGCGGGCUCGCUGUCACACCGAGCGCAGUAGCAAUAUCUCGCUCUGGGCGUGGCGCGGGUGCUUGCCGUAAAACACACCACUUAACAAGGUUGACCUCGGAUCAGGUAGGAAUACCCGCUGAACUUAAGCAUAUCAAUAAGCGGAGGA
This 334-nucleotide unclassified non-coding RNA is filed under the name soil metagenome. RNAcentral describes it as "partial contains 5.8S ribosomal RNA, internal transcribed spacer 2, and large subunit ribosomal RNA". The stretch from base 1 to 120 matches the Rfam family "5.8S ribosomal RNA", at positions 35 to 154 of the family's 154-position model. The record is from RNAcentral.